GGGUCUCUCCUGCAAGGGCUGCCUCGCUGUCCCCUCCUGGGAUCUGGAUUUGCUAGAGCUUCUCAUUCAGACAGGCAGAACUUGGCAGAAGACCAAAAGGUUCCUUCCGAUCUCUCAGAGGCUUCCUGAGAGCACAGAUGGAUGAGCGAGACUCAGCUGGCCCUGAAGCAGGAAGAGGCCAUGCCAUCCAAACUGGGAGCAGUGGGGGAUUCUGGGAAAACUCUGUGCAGAAGAUCCUGGGUGAGGAGGACACCCUCCGCUCAGAGGUGCAGAGCCAGCAGGUGAGGCAGUUCUGCUGCCAGGAGGCCAAAGGACCCCGAGAGGUUUGCAGCCGACUCUACCACUUUUGCCACCAGUGGCUGAAGCCAGAAAGGCACACGAAAGCUGAGAUGCUGGACCUGGUGAUCUUGGAGCAGUUCCUGGCUGUCCUUCCACCGGAGAUGGAGAGCUGGGUGAGGGACUGUGGAGCGGAGACAAGUUCCCAGGCGGUGGCCCUGGCCGAAGGUUUCCUCCUGAGUCAGGCAGAGGACAGAAAGCAGGGAAAGGAUCAUUUUGUAGAAAUGGACCUGGAUUCCUGUGAGGCAGAGAGGCCUCCGUUGGACACCAGAGAGAGGCCACUGGGAGACAGAAUGAUGCCGGCAAAACCUCCUGGUCCAUCUUUUCAUGGGAGCAGAAGGGAAGCAGCAGCUGUGGAACCAGAUCAGGGUCCAGUGUGCUUUGAAGAUGUCGCUGUUCGUUUCACGGACGAGGAGUGGGCGUUGCUGGAUCCUGACCAGAGAGCUCUGCAUAAGGAUGUCAUGGAGGAGAAUCGUGGGAUCGUGGCCUCUCUUGAUUGUGAUGAAUUGGAAAUUGAGAGCAAAGGUGACAACGAAAAAUUCCCCAGAGAGGAGAAGCCACACAAAAAUUUGGAGUGUGGAGAAAGCUGCAGUCAGAGCUCCCAUUCCACUUCCCAUCAACAAAAUCUCAUUGAAAAGAAACUCUAUCAGUGCAUGGAAUGUGGAAAGAGCUUCACUCGUAGCUCCUCUCUCACUUAUCAUCAAAGAAUUCAUACAGGGGAGAAACCCUAUCAGUGCGUGGAAUGCGGAAAGAGCUUCACUCGUAGCUCCUCUCUCACUUAUCAUCAAAAAAUUCAUAAAGGGGAGAAACCCUAUCAGUGUGUGGAAUGUGGAAAGAGCUUCAGUCAGAGCUCCAAGCUCACUUCCCAUCAAAGAAUUCAUACAGGAGAGAAACCCUAUCAGUGUGUGGAAUGUGGAAAGAGCUUCACUUAUAGCUCCCAUCUCACUAAGCAUCAAAGAAUUCAUACAAGGGAGAAACCCUAUCAGUGUGUGGAAUGUGGAAAGAGCUUCAGUCAGAGCUUCGAUCUCACUAAGCAUCAAAGAAUUCAUACAAGGGAGAAACCCUAUCAGUGUGUGGAAUGUGGAAAGAGCUUCACUGAUAACUCCAAUCUCACUUCCCAUCAAAGAAUUCACACAGGGGAAAAACCCUAUCAGUGCGUAGAAUGUGGAAAGAGCUUCAUUCAGAGCUCCACUCUCACCUCCCAUCAAAGAAUUCAUACAGGGGAGAAACCCUAUCAGUGUGUGGAAUGUGGAAAGAGCUUCACAUGUAGCUCCUCUCUCACUUCCCAUCAAAGAAUUCAUACAGGGGAGAAACCCUAUCAGUGUGUGGAAUGUGGAAAGAGUUUCAGGAAGAGGUCCGAUCUCACUUCCCAUCAAAGAAUUCAUACAGGGGAGAAACCCUAUCAGUGUGUGGAAUGUGGAAAGAGCUUCAGUCAGAGCUCCAAGCUCACUUUCCAUCAAAGAAUUCAUACAGGAGAGAAACCCUAUCAGUGUGUGGAAUGUGGAAAGAGCUUCAGUCAGAGCUCCAAGCUCACUUUCCAUCAAAGAAUUCAUACAGGAGAGAAACCCUAUCAGUGUGUGGAAUGUGGAAAGAGCUUCACUUAUAGCUCCCAUCUCACUAAGCAUCAAAGAAUUCAUACAAGGGAGAAACCCUAUCAGUGUGUGGAAUGUGGAAAGAGCUUCAGUCAGAGCUUCGAUCUCACUAAGCAUCAAAGAAUUCAUACAAGGGAGAAACCCUAUCAGUGUGUGGAAUGUGGAAAGAGCUUCACUGAUAACUCCAAUCUCAAUUCCCAUCAAAGAAUUCACACAGGGGAAAAACCCUAUCAGUGCGUAGAAUGUGGAAAGAGCUUCAGAAAUAGCUACUCUCUCACUUACCAUAAAAGAAUUCAUACAGGGGAGAGACCCUAUCAGUGCAUGGAAUGUGGAAAGAGCUUCACUUAUAGCUCCCAUCUCACUUCCCAUCAAAGAAUUCAUACAGGGGAGAAACCCUAUCAGUGUGUGGAAUGUGGAAAGAGCUUCACAUGUAGCUCCUCUCUCACUUCCCAUGAAAGAAUUCAUUCAGGGGAGAAACCCUAUCAGUGUGUGGAAUGUGGAAAGAGCUUCACAUGUAGCUCCUCUCUCACUUCCCAUCAAAGAAUUCAUUCAGGGGAGAAACCCUAUCAGUGUGCAGAAUGUGGGAAGAGCUUCACAUGUAGCUUCUCUCUCACUUCCCAUCAAAGAAUUCAUACAGGGGAGAAACCCUAUCAGUGUGUGGAAUGUGGAAAGAGCUUCACAUGUAGCUUCUCUCUCACUUCCCAUCAAAGAAUUCAUACAGGGGAGAAACCCUAUCAGUGUGUGGAAUGUGGAAAAAGCUUCACUGUUAGCUCUAAACUCACUUCCCACCAAAGAAUCCAUACAAAGGUCGGAAAAACCAUUUUAUAGCUUUAGGAGCCAGGCAAAUCCGCACCUUUUUAACCAGGCCUUUUUCUUAUUGACAUCUAAUGCUAUUUUAACAUGUGAUGUUUUAUGUUUUUAUGUUGUGUUUUUAUGCUCUAAGCAUUCUGAGACGUGGGUGUAGGGAAUACAGCCACUCUUAAAUUCCUUGGGGUCUUUGCCCCCCCAUAAAAUAUUUGAGGAGGCCACCCCCCAGAAGAUACAAACAUGGACAGGUCCCAUCUUUGCGGGCCAAACGCAAAAGUUGCUUUAAAGGAGGCUUUCCCAAACUUGGGUCCCCAGCAGCUCCCGGACUACAGUUCCCAUCGUCUCUCCCCAUUGGUCCUGCUAACUAGAGAUGAUGGGAGUUGUAGUCCAAAAACAGCUGGAGACCCAAAUUUGCUUUAAAGGGAAAGUAGGCUGGCCCUGUGACACCCUCUGCUGGCCAAAAACACUGCCCCAGAAUCUGAACCACCCCCAGUACUCCUAACUGGAAUUUAUAGAGCGCAAAACUGAAGUUUGAUCAGCACUUCAACCUCUAGGGAGCUUCUAGGUGCUUUCUGCGCCACCUAGAGUACCCACAGAAUUGUGGCUUCUACUGACAACACACAUAGGAGAACAAAUGAAAGACAAACACAAUGAGCAGGAAAAAACCUGGAAAGGGCCAUACCAAAUGGACAUCCGGUGUGAAGAGGUCACUUUCCCCACUGCUGAACAAUGCCACAGGUAGAGGAGAUGAAAUGCUAAAAGUGUUCUCUGGGGCAAGGGCAGCUGCUGAGAAAUUGAACUAUGGGCGCAAAAUAUUACUUUUUUAAAAAGUCGCUGCCAUUAUAGACAUUGCCAUUCAAAUGGUGUGCAUGCAUCCUGUGAUUGAUAGUGCAAGGCGGGACUUACCUGGCCCCCACCAAUAUUUUAUUCAAGUCGGCACCACUGGGUCGGGUGGUUUACAGAUUAAAUAAAUACAUAAUUCGCCUCCCUUUGCAAAUA
RNA transcript from Podarcis raffonei (Aeolian wall lizard), 3734 nucleotides. It is a transcript of the gene named zinc finger protein 420-like, with no coding region annotated. NCBI's taxonomy places the organism in Eukaryota, Metazoa, Chordata, Lepidosauria, Squamata, Lacertidae. The transcript is spliced from 7 exons. The record is from RefSeq and is a predicted model, not a curated record.